UAGAUAUACAAAUACCUUUCACUUACAAAUAAUAUUCAAUCUGCAUAUUCUAUAAAGUAUACAUUUUUUUUUUUGAGUCUUAAUAAGAGUUACACAUUUAAGGUCAUUAGCCUGAUUUAUUUAGUUGGUUUAUUAUUGUGGGGGAUGGCACGGUUGGUUCGGUUCUAAAAGUUCUAACUUAGAACACGUGUAGUGAGGAUUUUUCACUAAAAAUUCGGACGAUCAUCCAUCCAACUAGCUACUUAACCUCUAAACAAACCUUAGCCGUAAAAUAUAGAUUUAUAAAUUUAUUUUAUAAAAUAAAAAAAUAAAAAAUGUAGUUAUUCAGAUUAUCACUGUAACUUAAAAAUAAUCAUUUCUGUUAAAUGCGUGUUUAAAUAUUUAAGUUUAGAAUAUAUUUAACUAAGUAACCUUUAAACCUAAAACGUCUAAUAAGGGGACGUGUUGAAUUGUUAUGAAUUAUUAUUUAUUUUUUCAGAUAAAUAAGAUUAAGGUCUAUAUUAUGCAAUAUAAAAUAGUAAAAGAUGUAAGUAUAGGUACUUAUUUAAUUUUAUUACAAUUUGAUAAAAUAAGCAAUAAAAAUAUGACAUAAAAUAUACAACGAAAUUAUCUUUGAUGAUCAUUAAGUAAAACCAAAGUUAUUUUUCACCGAAAAAGACUUUAUCUUAAAUAAAUCAAUUGUAUUUUUAAAAGUUUAUUUAAUUUUUUCAUUAAUGACAGAAUCCCCGAUUUCAUAAUUUUUAAAUUAGCAGUUUACCUAUAAGCAUCUAAGCCGUACUUCCAUUUGAAUAUAUACCUAUUACCUACCAUAAAGUAUGAAUUUUUCAUGUUUAUACUUAAGGUUAGAUUAUGUGACAAUAAUAUUAUGCAUUUGGUAUUAUACUUGCAAAAUGCAAAAUAAAAAUUAUAAUAUUUGUAUCAAUGGUGCCAUUCAUGGUUUGAUUAGGGUUAGGUAUUAUUACUAGUGCUGAGGAUUGAGGACUUCUUGCAGUCCGGUCAUAUUUUUUCUAUAAAGGUCGUAGAACUAGAACAAUAGGUAUAAAUAUGUUACAUAACACAAGGCCACUAUAGUUAAAAUUGUAUUUCAAAUGUAUUUGCAUAUUUUGUCAUAACUGCAUAUGAAAUAUGCAUAUUUAAGUAGGAAGUUUUAUAGGAAAAUUCGAGAAUAAAUUUUUCAAUUUUUCGAUACAACAAAGUUUUAAGAUAGUGUCGAAUGAGUUUGGACAGAUAAAAAUACAUAGUAGGUAUAGAUAAUAUUCGGUAUACAGACAAUAAUUUCACACUAUUGCGUGAUCGGAUCCAGACCGAGAUGAUUAUUCCACCGUAUCAAAAAGGUGCCACGAAUAUUACACUCAAGUUCACCGCAAAGCAUAUUCGCAGUCGCAUACAGAAUAAUAGAAUUUAAAAAUCCGAAGACCGAAGAUAUCGAAUUUAAACGAUAUCCUGCACUGAACCGCCACGAGUAUACUGAUAGUGUGCUGAAUACUGAUCAUUGAUCAAUAUUGGAAUGCUGGGUGAUCUAAUACACUAAGUAAUCACUAAUCAGUCGCGGUAUACAAUAUAAUAUCAUCAAGAUUUUAACGAUGUCAAAACUUCAGUUACAACAUACUUUUGGUUGUCAACAAAUAUACCUACGGUCCAAAUGCUCUUAUCGGAAUAGGAAAAGUAAACGGUACAUAUCGAUCAACCCUAAAUAGAUUUAGUUUUGAAGAAUAUUCCAGACUCUUCGCACAUGGAAUGAAGUACACACAACUGUUCAAUGCAUACAAUAUUAUAGGCUUUUUUUUGUUAAUGUGUAUUUACUAUUUAGACGUGGCUGAAUCAACAAAGUUGUAAUGCAUUUUUAGAAAAUAUUAUGAAAAAAUGAAAUUCAGCUAGAUACUUGAAAACGAACUCUCGUCAUUGAUGUACCCAAAUAGCCUACCCAAAACGCCGUGUACAAAGGAUACCAGUGGUUAGUGAUACGUAACCACUAACCAUAUAUAAUAUUCUUAUAUUAUUAUUUUUUAUCGAACUAAAUAAUGGCAACUAUGAUCAUUAGCUGUUUUUUAGAGGCGAAUGGUUGGUUGGAACACAUAUACAUGCGUGUGGCAAGAAUUUCGUUGCUAAAAAUCCCUGAUGGUCACCCAUCCGGGAGCCAGCA
Myzus persicae (green peach aphid) is the source of this 2143-nucleotide long non-coding RNA. RefSeq lists it as uncharacterized. NCBI's taxonomy places the organism in Eukaryota, Metazoa, Arthropoda, Insecta, Hemiptera, Aphididae. The record is from RefSeq and is a predicted model, not a curated record. The transcript is spliced from 5 exons.